UACGUAGGGUGCAAGCGUUGUCCGGAAUUAUUGGGCGUAAAGAGCUCGUAGGCGGUUCGUCGCGUCGGCUGUGAAAAUCCGGGGCUCAACCCCGGACUUGCAGUGGGUACGGGCAGACUAGAGUGUGGUAGGGGAGACUGGAAUUCCUGGUGUAGCGGUGAAAUGCGCAGAUAUCAGGAGGAACACCGAUGGCGAAGGCAGGUCUCUGGGCCACUACUGACGCUGAGAAGCGAAAGCAUGGGGAGCGAACAGG
This 253-nucleotide ribosomal RNA is filed under the name uncultured bacterium. RNAcentral describes it as "partial 16S ribosomal RNA". It matches the Rfam family "Bacterial small subunit ribosomal RNA", at positions 524 to 776 of the family's 1533-position model. The record is from RNAcentral.